RNAcentral lists this unclassified non-coding RNA (377 nucleotides) under uncultured Actinomycetes bacterium. Its description in RNAcentral is "uncultured actinobacterium contains 16S-23S intergenic spacer region". Lineage: Bacteria; Bacillati; Actinomycetota; Actinomycetes. The record is from RNAcentral.
UCCGAGUUGACCCCGGCAGUCUCCUAUGAGUCCCCACCAUAACGUGCUGGCAACAUAGAACGAGGGUUGCGCUCGUUGCGGGACUUAACCCAACAUCUCACGACACGAGCUGACGACAACCAUGCACCACCUGUGAGGCGCGCUUGCGGACCUGAAAUUUCUGCCAGUUUUCACCCCAUGUCAAGCCUUGGUAAGGUUCUUCGCGUUGCAUCGAAUUAAUCCGCAUGCUCCGCCGCUUGUGCGGGCCCCCGUCAAUUCCUUUGAGUUUUAGCCUUGCGGCCGUACUUCCCAGGCGGGGCGCUUAAUGCGUUUGCUGCGGCACAGAACUCGUGGAAAGAGCCCCACACCUAGCGCCCAACGUUUACGGCAUGGACUAC